UGACCUCGGAUUAGAUGUGAAUACCCGCUGAACUUAAGCAUAUCACUAAGCGGAGGAAAAG
This 61-nucleotide ribosomal RNA is filed under the name Elopicola bristowi. RNAcentral describes it as "partial 28S ribosomal RNA". It matches the Rfam family "Eukaryotic large subunit ribosomal RNA", at positions 1 to 61 of the family's 3401-position model. The record is from RNAcentral. Lineage: Eukaryota; Metazoa; Platyhelminthes; Trematoda; Strigeidida; Aporocotylidae.